RNAcentral lists this ribosomal RNA (507 nucleotides) under uncultured Glomus. Its description in RNAcentral is "SSU rRNA". It matches the Rfam family "Eukaryotic small subunit ribosomal RNA", at positions 573 to 1078 of the family's 1831-position model. The record is from RNAcentral. Lineage: Eukaryota; Fungi; Glomeromycota; Glomeromycetes; Glomerales; Glomeraceae.
GCCGCGGUAAUUCCAGCUCCAAUAGCGUAUAUUAAAGUUGUUGCAGUUAAAAAGCUCGUAGUUGAAUUUCGAGAUCAGUACGCUGGUCGUACCUUCGGUACUAUGCACUGGUGUCACUGGUUUCUCCCUUCUGAAGAACCGUAAUGCCAUUCAGUUGGUGUGGCGGGGAAUCAGGAUUGUUACUUUGAAAAAAUUAGAGUGUUUAAAGCAGGCUCGCGCUUGAAUACAUUAGCAUGGAAUAAUGAAAUAGGGCGUUUGAUCCUAUUUUAUUGGUUUCUGGGAUCGACGUAAUGAUUAAUAGGGAUAGUUGGGGGCAUUAGUAUUCAAUUGUCAGAGGUGAAAUUCUUGGAUUUAUUGAAGACUAACUACUGCGAAAGCAUUUGCCAAGGAUGUUUUCAUUAAUCAAGAACGAAAGUUAGGGGAUCGAAGACGAUCAGAUACCGUCGUAGUCUUAACCAUAAACUAUGCCGACUAGGGAUCGGAUGAUGUUAAUUUUUUAAUGACUCA